Molecule: long non-coding RNA, 1070 nt
Filed under: Pan troglodytes (chimpanzee)
Lineage: Eukaryota; Metazoa; Chordata; Mammalia; Primates; Hominidae
Description: long non-coding RNA NONPTRT002945
Source: RNAcentral
AUGGCAGGGCUUCGGUCCAAAAUCCUAAGGGCCUGUCCUGUGAUUCACUUACAGGGGUCUGCCAAAGCCUCCAAUGAGCAUCUCUAUCUGCCACUGCCACUUCAAACACCACUGGAUCUGAUGGAUCAGAUGGCCCAAGUAGCAGAGAAACUUCCCUGGCAGCCUGGACCUGUGGCAGUGCCUUCUGUAGGAGUAAUUAGAUUUCAGAGUGGCACGUGGAGGCACUCAAUUGCCAUAACCAAGCUGGAAAUGGUUACCAUGAUUUUUUACCUCCAAGACUCAAAGAGGUACACUAAGUAUCAACUAGAUGCCUAGGAAUUGUCCUGUGUAGAAGGUGGCCCUGAAUUUUAGUGAGAUUUCCCACCUUCUAACAUGCCAGUAUUCUACCAAUGAGUCUAGAGAAGUCACUACUUCUUGCUGAUAGGAAACUAUGAUAUAGGGUUGGAGAGUUUAUAUACCCAUAAGGCAGGACAGCGAAGGUGUAUUGCUGGCCUUGCCGGCUGAAAACAAACUUGUUUCUGGUGGUCUUUACUAAGGGGUAUGGAGAAAAAAGCAUUUGCCAGAUCAAUAGCUGCAUACCAGGUAUGAGGAUAUGUGUUAACUUGCUCAAGCAAUAGAACUGCCUCUGGUUGGAGUAAUCACCCAGUUAAGCUUAUGAUAAUCCAUUGUCUUUCUCCAAAAUUCGUAUUUUCUGCAAAGGCCAAACAGGUGAGUUGAAUGGGGAUGGGGUGGAAAUUAUUUCUGCAUACUUUAAGACCUUGAUGGUGGCACUAAUUUCUGGCAUCCUUCCAGGAAUGCAAUAUUGAUUUUGGUUUCUCAUUUUCCUAGGUAGAGGCAGUUCUAGUGGCUUCCACUUGAACUUUCCCACUCUAAUAGCCCUCACUCAAGUCAGAGAACCAAUAUGGUUGGUUCUCUGUGUCAGUUGCUGAGUGUAUCUAUUCCAAUUAUGCAUUCCCGAACUGCAUAGUAAAAUAACCACAGGAUGGUUUCAGGGAUCCCUGGAGCCACUGUGAGACAGACUGGAGGUAAAACUCCAUUGAUUACCUGACCUCCAUAAGCUCCUACUCCAG